Molecule: small nucleolar RNA, 106 nt
Filed under: Cephalotus follicularis
Lineage: Eukaryota; Viridiplantae; Streptophyta; Magnoliopsida; Oxalidales; Cephalotaceae
Description: Plant small nucleolar RNA R71
Rfam family: Plant small nucleolar RNA R71
About the family: R71 is a member of the C/D box family of snoRNAs containing the C (UGAUGA) and D (CUGA) box motifs.
Source: Rfam by way of RNAcentral
AUGGCAUGAUGAGGACAUUUUUUGAUGAGAUCCUUUAAUCGUUCCUAUGACUCAUGGAACUUCUCACCAUCUUGCUGCGAGAAGCUAGUGAGAGCUCGUCUUAUUU